AACGUUUGCUGGAACAGCUCCCGGAACUGUGGAAAACACUUUACUUAGGUUUUACCAGUGUUCAUGGAACAAGGAGGCCAUUACACAGAAUUGGCUCUAAAGCCUUGGCGGCUUUAGUUUCUGGUGACCAGGAUGAGACUUGCUGGGAUACCCCACUCACUCUGGAGCCUGAAGGCAGCAUCCUUGGAAAACUGGCAGAAGACAGCAAAGGGUUUCCUCCUCGAGCCAGAGAGCCGCCUGUAUUUCCCUCUCCACCCCCCCCCCCCCCGGGCCUGCGUCUGAUAGACCCUGUCGUGCUGAACUGAACGGAUCCCUCUGCGUCUGACUCACCAGUGGAGUCGGGG
This is a long non-coding RNA of Leopardus geoffroyi (Geoffroy's cat), 344 nucleotides long. RefSeq lists it as uncharacterized. The record is from RefSeq and is a predicted model, not a curated record. The transcript is spliced from 3 exons. NCBI's taxonomy places the organism in Eukaryota, Metazoa, Chordata, Mammalia, Carnivora, Felidae.